GUCUGGAUGUGCUGGUGGAUGCAGGGGCCUCCUGGGAACUGGGUUGGAGCCUAGCUAGUGCUAGCCAGGCACAAGCCCACACAGAGAGCCACACGAGGACCCACCCAUAGCCUACCACUGAAUCCCCGGCAGCCAACAGGAGAUGUUGAAGAUAACAAAGGGGAAGAUGAAGAGGAAGACAUUGACUUGGUCACAGUGGAAAAGUGGUGUGCCUCCUUCAACAGCAAUGCUGUCACCAACUUCACCAUC
This 249-nucleotide non-coding RNA is filed under the name Loxodonta africana (African savanna elephant). Lineage: Eukaryota; Metazoa; Chordata; Mammalia; Proboscidea; Elephantidae. The record is from RNAcentral.